AGAAAUUUUAGUGUGUGUAUAUUAAUAUAUAUAUUUGAAUUUUAUAAUUAUGAUCAAAAUUUUUAUUAAUUUUAAUUUAAUUUUAAAAGUUAAUUAUUUUUAUUGUUCAACGUGUCAAUAUUGGUUAAAAUCAACUUAUGUGACAUAAUUUUGACCAUUAAUUUAUAUACAUAACAUUGUACAACGCCUCCUUGAAACACCAAGCUAAUCAUAUGAGUUUUCUUUUCUCUGUUUUGCUAGUUCCUUCUCUAAGGUUGUCGCGUGUGGCGGUAUUUUUUUGGCCCCUGCGGACGGAGGAAGGCCACUUUCCCCUUCCCGGUCAGUGGGUCUCCCUCCUUACCAGUGGGAAGGGUUGUAUAUUAGGUUUUUUAUUAUCAUGGUUGAGGAGCAGGCGUUCAUUCGUGAGGGAUUUUUUUUAAAGCUGCCAAUAGAUCUUGAUUUUGUUUUGCUUUGUCUUUCUCUGUCUUGUUUUGCAAGUUACAUAUCUAGUGGUGGAUGGUGGAGGUGAAGUUGCGCGGUGGAUUGAGGGGCGCAGUUCAGAAGGCUGACCCAGAAUGGGCAAAUGAGAGGCCAAAGAACACCAUUGUUAUCCUAUCCUCUGUUCUUGUUGGUUUUCAUCCACUGGAGAUUUUGGUUUUAGCCUGGGUUGGUCUGCCUUGAGACCUACGAGAUGGGUUUAUGAGAAGAAAUCUCUCCGAGCAUAGUUAGACAAAAAUGGUUGCCGAUCUGUGUUGAUGAGGCUUUUCUGGUAUUAAUUUGAGCAGGUUGUUUGUGUUGAGCCGAAAGAUGAUGACAGCAAUAUGGAGCUUCUGCUCCUUGAUAUGCCAGGUCAAGGUCAACCAAACACCCCUGCAGCAGGUUUCAAAUGUCCAUGAUGUUCAACUGAUUGCUUUACUCCCUACGCAAUUUUCAGUUUUUUAAUUCAGUACGUCAAGGUUUGAAGAUAAGAGUUUUGGGUGUUUCUCAUAUGUUAAAUUCAAACUAGAUUGUCUUAUCAUUGCAAAGAAUAUGAUAUUGUUACAACAUAGUAUAUACUAAGUUCAUACGCCAUCAAUAAAA
This 1059-nucleotide unclassified non-coding RNA is filed under the name Hevea brasiliensis (rubber tree). The record is from RNAcentral. Lineage: Eukaryota; Viridiplantae; Streptophyta; Magnoliopsida; Malpighiales; Euphorbiaceae.